AAGUCGUAACAAGGUUUCCGUAGGUGAACCUGCGGAAGGAUCAUUAACACGUUAUCCACGUAUCAACCAAACCGUGAACUUGAACCUGUAUGCCAGUUGCGCGCUGUCGAGAGGGAGUGGAGAAGGGAUUCUUCACUUUGCUUUCCCCAGUGUGUUUCAACUGCAUCGUUGUUCCCAAUUACCAAAUCACCCCUGAUGUCUCUUUUUUCUUCUUCGGGAGAAGAAGGAGCCAUUGGUUUUAUUCUCUAUUUCUUAUUGAAGAUCUGAAGCCAUUUCGGCUUUGUCUUCUAACACAAACGCUGUACAACUCUUAGCAACGGAUAUCUUGGUUUCC
Molecule: unclassified non-coding RNA, 334 nt
Filed under: fungal sp.
Lineage: Eukaryota; Fungi
Description: partial internal transcribed spacer region
Rfam family: Eukaryotic small subunit ribosomal RNA (bases 1-46)
Source: RNAcentral